This 265-nucleotide ribosomal RNA is filed under the name uncultured archaeon. Its description in RNAcentral is "partial 16S ribosomal RNA". It matches the Rfam family "Archaeal small subunit ribosomal RNA", at positions 717 to 982 of the family's 1478-position model. The record is from RNAcentral.
AGACGUCUACAUUAGAUACCCCGGUAGUCCCAGCCGUAAACUAUGCGCGUUAGGUGUAUCGGUGACCACGAGUCACCGAGGUGCCGAAGGGAAACCGUGAAACGUGCCGCCUGGGAAGUACGGGUCGCAAGGCUGAAACUUAAAGGAAUUGGCGGGGAGCACCACAACGGGUGGAGCCUGCGGUUUAAUUGGACUCAACGCCGGGAAGCUCACCGGAUAAGACAGCGGAAUGAUUGCCGGGCUGAAGACUCUGCAUGACUAGCUG